UACAGAGGGGGCAAGCGUUGUUCGGAAUUACUGGGCGUAAAGGGCGCGUAGGCGGCCUGUUAAGUCGAACGUGAAAUCCCCGGGCUCAACCCGGGAACUGCGUCCGAUACUGGCAGGCUUGAAUCCGGGAGAGGGAUGUGGAAUUCCAGGUGUAGCGGUGAAAUGCGUAGAUAUCUGGAGGAACACCGAUGGCGAAGGCAGCCCCCUGGGUUAACACUGACGCUCAGGCACGAAAGCGUGGGGAGCAAACAGG
This 253-nucleotide ribosomal RNA is filed under the name uncultured bacterium. RNAcentral's name for it is "partial 16S ribosomal RNA". It matches the Rfam family "Bacterial small subunit ribosomal RNA", at positions 524 to 776 of the family's 1533-position model. The record is from RNAcentral.